AACGAACGCUGGCGGCAUGCCUAACACAUGCAAGUCGAACGAGACCUUCGGGUCUAGUGGCGCACGGGUGCGUAACGCGUGGGAACCUGCCCUUAGGUUCGGAAUAACUCCCCGUAAGGGGUGCUAAUACCGGAUAAUGUCUUCGGACCAAAGAUUUAUCGCCUUUGGAUGGGCCCGCGUUGGAUUAGCUAGUUGGUAGGGUAAAAGCCUACCAAGGCGACGAUCCAUAGCUGGUCGGAGAGGAUGAUCAGCCACACUGGGACUGAGACACGGCCCAGACUCCUACGGGAGGCAGCAGUGGGGAAUAUUAGACAAUGGGCGAAAGCCUGAUCCAGCAAUGCCGCGUGAGUGAUGAAGGCCUUAGGGUUGUAAAGCUCUUUUAGCCGAGAUGAUAAUGACAGUACCGGGAGAAUAAGCUCCGGCUAACUCCGUG
This 433-nucleotide ribosomal RNA is filed under the name uncultured bacterium. RNAcentral describes it as "partial 16S ribosomal RNA". It matches the Rfam family "Bacterial small subunit ribosomal RNA", at positions 29 to 507 of the family's 1533-position model. The record is from RNAcentral.